This 438-nucleotide ribosomal RNA is filed under the name uncultured bacterium. RNAcentral describes it as "bacterial SSU rRNA". It matches the Rfam family "Bacterial small subunit ribosomal RNA", at positions 28 to 492 of the family's 1533-position model. The record is from RNAcentral.
GAUGAACGCUGGCGGCGUGCCUAACACAUGCAAGUCGAGCGAUUCUCUUUGGAGAAGAGCGGCGGACGGGUGAGUAACGCGUGGGUAACCUGCCCUGUACACACGGAUAACAUACCGAAAGGUAUGCUAAUACGAGAUAAUAUACUUUUAUCGCAUGGUAGAAGUAUCAAGGCUUUUGCGGUACAGGAUGGACCCGCGUCUGAUUAGCUAGUUGGUAAGGUAACGGCUUACCAAGGCGACGAUCAGUAGCCGACCUGAGAGGGUGAUCGGCCACAUUGGAACUGAGACACGGGUCCAAACUCCUACGGGAGGCAGCAGUGGGGAAUAUUGCACGAUGGGGGAAACCCUGAUGCAGCGACGCCGCGUGAGCGAAGAAGUAUUUCGGUAUGUAAAGCUCUAUCAGCAGGGAAGAUAAUGACGGUACCUGACUAAGAAGCU